This 576-nucleotide ribosomal RNA is filed under the name Salmonella enterica. RNAcentral's name for it is "partial 23S ribosomal RNA". It matches the Rfam family "Bacterial large subunit ribosomal RNA", at positions 657 to 1230 of the family's 2925-position model. The record is from RNAcentral. Lineage: Bacteria; Pseudomonadati; Pseudomonadota; Gammaproteobacteria; Enterobacterales; Enterobacteriaceae.
AUAGGGGAGCCGGAGGGAAACCGAGUCUUAACCGGGCGUUAAGUUGCAGGGUAUAGACCCGAAACCCGGUGAUCUAGCCAUGGGCAGGUUGAAGGUUGGGUAACACUAACUGGAGGACCGAACCGACUAAUGUUGAAAAAUUAGCGGAUGACCUGUGGCUGGGGGUGAAAGGCCAAUCAAACCGGGAGAUAGCUGGUUCUCCCCGAAAGCUAUUUAGGUAGCGCCUCGUGAAUUCAUCUCCGGGGGUAGAGCACUGUUUCGGCUAGGGGGCCAUCCCGGCUUACCAACCCGAUGCAAACUGCGAAUACCGGAGAAUGUUAUCACGGGAGACACACGGCGGGUGCUAACGUCCGUCGUGAAGAGGGAAACAACCCAGACCGCCAGCUAAGGUCCCAAAGUCAUGGUUAAGUGGGAAACGAUGUGGGAAGGCCCAGACAGCCAGGAUGUUGGCUUAGAAGCAGCCAUCAUUUAAAGAAAGCGUAAUAGCUCACUGGUCGAGUCGGCCUGCGCGGAAGAUGUAACGGGGCUAAACCAUGCACCGAAGCUGCGGCAGCGACGCUGAUGCGUUGUUGGGUA